CAGCAGCCACGGGAAUACGAAGGGUGCAAGCGUUACUCGGAAUUACUGGGCGUAAAGCGUGCGUAGGUGGUGGUUUAAGUCCGUUGUGAAAGCCCUGGGCUCAACCUGGGAAUUGCAGUGGAUACUGGGUCACUAGAGUGUGGUAGAGGAUAGUGGAAUUUCCGGUGUAGCAGUGAAAUGCGUAGAGAUCGGAAGGAACAUCUGUGGCGAAGGCGACUAUCUGGGCCAACACUGACACUGAGGCACGAAAGCGUGGGGAGCAAACAGGAUUAGAUACCCCAGUAGUCCCUGUCUCUUAUAC
This 301-nucleotide ribosomal RNA is filed under the name uncultured bacterium. RNAcentral describes it as "partial 16S ribosomal RNA". It matches the Rfam family "Bacterial small subunit ribosomal RNA", at positions 509 to 807 of the family's 1533-position model. The record is from RNAcentral.